AAAAAAAUUAAUAAUUAGGAAACUAACACCAAACAAAAAAAAGAUGAUAUUCUCAAUAUUUUCUGUAUUAAUUCUACUUUUGCCCCUACUAAAACACACACACCUCUCAUCUCCUUCUUUCUACCUCUCUCACCAUCUCUUGGCCAGACCCUAACUCUAAUCAUGAUUCUAGUCUUCUAGAUAUGUCGCAGAGUGAUCGACAACUCCACGAUUUCAUCUCUUUAUCUAUUCAAGUGACUUAAAUGAUUGUUGCAUGCCUUGAAGCUUCGAGUAGAUCUCCGACGGAACUCCGAGAGCAAAAAAGUGCGGCAGCCAAAGUAAACGAGUUUCCAAUUUUUUUUUUUUUUUUUUGAGCAAAGAACGAGUUUCCAAUUUAGUGGCGAAAAACGGUGGAGGAGUGGUAGCGGAUGUGACUUCUUCCAGAUGAAAGAGAAACGAUGCUAGAUAUGGUCCAGAAAUCUCCGAUCAAAAUCGGAGCUAGCAAGGGCUUCUUCUGACGGUGGCGGCUGCGGGGAAGGUAGACCUAAACCAACAAAAUUCAAUUUAGCCGCAUCAGAAAUCACAGCCAUCGUCGAUCUAUCACCGGAACGAUUCAAUUUGAUAGACGUAUUAACCUACUAUAUAUCUCAGCUUGCUCCACGACCUUCCAACCCGAGACUCAUGCGAAGUAAUACUAAAGAAUAUAGCUCAAUUCCCUACUUUUCCAAACCUACUUGCUUCAUUUUUUUCGAUUGGGUUUUCGAAUCAACUAAAUAGCAUGAAUGUAUGUACUAUACUAUUUUGUCGUUAUGGAAUUAACAAAGUAAUCAAUUGAAGUUUAUACCGAUUUUGGUGUUCCUACAUCUUUGUUUUGAUUGGUUGGUCUUACAAAGAACAAAUAUAUAACUAAGAUGAUGGCGAAGACGAACUAUACUAUUUAAGAUGAUGACGUUACCAUCCGUUUUCACUCUCCUCAAGCACACGUACAAAAAGAGAAACGAGUGAGAAGGACUAAGUAGACUUUUUACCCCUCCUUUGUGUUACUCACUUAAUUUCUUUCUUUAUAGUGCUAUAUCCUUAAAUAUUUUAUCAAAAUGUGUUAUUUCUGCAAAAGACCC
RNAcentral lists this long non-coding RNA (1097 nucleotides) under Arabidopsis lyrata. Its description in RNAcentral is "long non-coding RNA (ALYR_LNC002543)". Lineage: Eukaryota; Viridiplantae; Streptophyta; Magnoliopsida; Brassicales; Brassicaceae. The record is from RNAcentral.